UUGUAUAUUUGAUCGAUUCAUGAAGGUUGGUGAAAGGAGUCGACAGCAUCCUUAGGCCAAACUUACUAUUUUGGGGAAAAUUUUAUGCAAAUGUAUUGACUAUGAGUGGCAACGCUUAGAAAACUGUAUAUUUGACCGAUUCAUGAAGGAUGGUGAAAGGAGUCGACAGCAUUCUUAGGCGAAACUUACUACUUUGGGGAAAACUUUAUGCAAAUGUAUUGACUAUGAGUGGCAACGCUUAGAAAACUGUAUAUUUGACCGAUUCAUGAAGGUUGGUGAAAGGAGUCGACAGCAUUCUUAGGCGAAACUUACUACUUUGGGGAAAACUUUAUGCAAAUGUAUUGACUAUGAGUGGCAACGCUUAGAAAACUGUAUAUUUGACCGAUUCAUGAAGGAUGGUGAAAGGAGUCGACAGCAUUCUUAGGCGAAACUUACUACUUUGGGGAAAACUUUAUGCAAAUGUAUUGACUAUGAGUGGCAACGCUUAGAAAACUGUAUAUUUGACCGAUUCAUGAAGGAUGGUGAAAGGAGUCGACAGCAUUCUUAGGCGAAACUUACUACUUUGGGGAAAACUUUAUGCAAAUGUAUUGACUAUGAGUGGCAACGCUUAGAAAACUGUAUAUUUGACCGAUUCAUGAAGGUUGGUGAAAGGAGUCGACAGCAUUCUUAGGCGAAACUUACUACUUUGGGGUAAAAUUUAUGCAAAUGUAUUGACUAUGAGUGGCAACGCUUAGAAAAUUGUAUAUUUGAUCGAUUCAUGAAGGUUGGUGAAAGGAGUCGACAGCAUCCUUAGGCCAAACUUACUACUUUGGGGAAAAA
Molecule: long non-coding RNA, 819 nt
Organism: Pectinophora gossypiella (pink bollworm)
Lineage: Eukaryota; Metazoa; Arthropoda; Insecta; Lepidoptera; Gelechiidae
Exons: 5
Source: RefSeq, a predicted model, not a curated record